UGCUGCUGCAGGAAACUGGGUUGAUGAGAGCAGUUGAAACUGAGUCAAAAAGUGAAGUCUUAAAACCAAAACAAUGAGCAGAGAGAGGUUACAACGGUUCGCAGGGCUGAGAGGAACUGUAAAGUCAACCAUCCUGUAUCCUGUAUUCAGUUCCCUGUUCCUGUUCCUGUGGUUUAGACUUUCCGCCUGUUUUUGACCUGGCUGCCUGCCUUGCCCCUUUGGACAUGUUUAUAUGUUUUGGACUGCCUUCCUGUUACUAAUCUGUAAGUCUGUCUUUUGGAUUUAAUUUAUUAAAGCCCUUCUCAUUUGAUCUGUC
Scomber japonicus (chub mackerel) is the source of this 316-nucleotide long non-coding RNA. RefSeq lists it as uncharacterized. The transcript is spliced from 2 exons. The record is from RefSeq and is a predicted model, not a curated record. Lineage: Eukaryota; Metazoa; Chordata; Actinopteri; Scombriformes; Scombridae.